RNAcentral lists this ribosomal RNA (459 nucleotides) under uncultured bacterium. Its description in RNAcentral is "partial 16S ribosomal RNA". It matches the Rfam family "Bacterial small subunit ribosomal RNA", at positions 338 to 795 of the family's 1533-position model. The record is from RNAcentral.
CCUACGGGAGGCAGCAGUGAGGAAUAUUGGUCAAUGGUCGGGAGACUGAACCAGCCAAGCCGCGUGAGGGAUGAAGGUACAGAGUAUCGUAAACCUCUUUUGUCAGGGAACAAAGGCGGGGACGUGUCCCCGGAUGAGUGUACCUGAAGAAAAAGCAUCGGCUAACUCCGUGCCAGCAGCCGCUGUAAUACGGAGGAUGCGAGCGUUAUCCGGUUUUAUUGGGUUUAAAGGGUGCGCAGGCGGUCUGUUAAGUCAGCGGUAAAAGCCCGGGGCUCAACCCCGGCCCGCCGUUGAAACUGGCAGUCUCGAGUUGGAGAGAAGUAUGCGGAAUGCGCGGUGUAGCGGUGAAAUGCAUAGAUAUCGCGCAGAACUCCGAUUGCGAAGGCAGCAUGCCGGCUCCACACUGACGCUGAGGCACGAAAGCGUGGGUAUCGAACAGGAUUAGAUACCCGAGUAGUC